Molecule: small nucleolar RNA, 108 nt
Organism: Zingiber officinale
Lineage: Eukaryota; Viridiplantae; Streptophyta; Magnoliopsida; Zingiberales; Zingiberaceae
Source: RefSeq, a predicted model, not a curated record
AGACCAUGAUGUGGACAGUCUCUCAGCAUUCCCUUAAAUCUAUCCCAUGGUUCAUAAAGAGAUUCAACAUUUGUUUGCUUAACGCUUGCAAUAAGGUUGCGGAGGUGU